Molecule: non-coding RNA, 125 nt
Organism: Hordeum vulgare subsp. vulgare (domesticated barley)
Lineage: Eukaryota; Viridiplantae; Streptophyta; Magnoliopsida; Poales; Poaceae
Source: Rfam
AAAAUACUCCCUUCGUCCGGAAUUACUUGUCGCACAAAUAAACAAAAAUGAAUGUAUAUAGAACUAAAAUACAUCUAGAUACAUCCAUUCUUAUGACAAGUAUUUCUGAACAGAAGGAGUAUAUA